AUUCCAUGUUGAGGGCACUUCCUCAACAAUUCCUUGUACCUUUCCCAUGACACAUACAAAGUUUUAGACUCCAUCUGUCGAAAAUAAGAUAUGUCAUUCCUAAGCUU
Small nucleolar RNA from Dioscorea cayenensis subsp. rotundata (Guinea yam), 107 nucleotides. NCBI's taxonomy places the organism in Eukaryota, Viridiplantae, Streptophyta, Magnoliopsida, Dioscoreales, Dioscoreaceae. The record is from RefSeq and is a predicted model, not a curated record.